AAGUGGAAACAAUGUCGGUGGUUCCUGUUUAAAAAUGAAAAGACAUCAAUCAAUGUCACAAGAACUUGACCAAAGGAACAAGGCAACAUCGUUUUUGCAAUAAAGUAAUUGACAUCAACAGUUAAGACAGCAUUUUGAACAUGAACUCUUAACGAAAUAGAAAGCUAUCAAGUCGAUUUAACUAAACUCACAACUACCAAGUCUACAAAGAUGGCUAAUUACAAGGACGCUAAAACAUUAGUUUGUCAAGAUAAAUAACUCCCAACACAACUUCAAGCUAAGCCAGAAUAUGAUAACAGGUAGAAUUAGCAGAACCCCAGAACAUACAUAAUACUCAACCUGUCUUGAGUUUUCCUCCAUAUGGUCUAUUAUCGUACUAGCAUCCGAAAAUUCACCACAGUGAAACUAAAUAUUGCACUUUAAUACUAAACCAAAACUUCCAAAUUGAUAUUCCCAAUGAAUUUCUGCAACCGAACAAGCUGCCACACCAUUUUGAAGAGGCACGAUUUCAGAGGAAAAUAACUCUAGAAACUUGAAGAGCACAAUAACAUUAGCCAGCAGCAGUACAAAGAAAAAACUAAAGUAGAAUAAUCCAUUUGGGUAUUAGCUACAAUACUAGAUAUCAUAAUGUUAAGACAUUUCCAUGCUGAUGUAGGAACAGCAUAGGUUCGAUAAGGGUACAGGAAAUCCAGAAGUGCCAAAGCAGAGGGAGAGCCUCCGCGCAAUUCUUCAAAUUAACUGGUUUAAUUUCAACCAUAUUGCCAAAAGCAGAAACCUCACCGCCACUCCCAGUCUUCUGGCAAAUCUUCAACAACUGCUAGGAAGGCCUCAACCCACUAAGAUGGCACUGUAUACACGAGAUAUGCUAGUAUGAGCUCCCGAGAAAGAUUGAUUAAAUAACCAACAAAUAAAUAAACCACAAGACCACAAUAAUGCCAAGAAUAUCUCAAAAGCAAUAGAAUUUUAAUAUGAAUUAAGAUUCUAUUUUUAUACCAUUACUGUAACAUAUCACGAACCACUUCAGGAAACACUCCUAAAGAAGUCAUGUAAAUCCUAGUAGGCACCGAGGGUUUCCAGGAUAUAUAGUAUGAAAUAUACUUUAAAAAAAUUUAUGAAAGAGCAAUUCAGUGUUCCAAUCUCGAAUGGACAUGGCCCACGCCUCUACACUCUCCACUAAAAUACCAAAGCUUGGUUCACCAAUAAGAUUUCAAGCUUGUGACAUGUACCAAUCACAUGUCCAGCAAUGUCCUAGCUUUUACGUUGAA
This 1265-nucleotide long non-coding RNA is filed under the name Nicotiana benthamiana. RNAcentral describes it as "long non-coding RNA (NBEN_LNC002885)". The record is from RNAcentral. Lineage: Eukaryota; Viridiplantae; Streptophyta; Magnoliopsida; Solanales; Solanaceae.